GACGAACGCUGGCGGCGUGCUUAACACAUGCAAGUCGAACGGAAAGGCCCUGCUUUUGUGCGGUUCUCGAGUGGCGAACGGGUGAGUAACACGUGUGUAACCUGCCCUUGACUUUGGGAUAACUUAAGGAAGCUGGGGCUAAUAUCGGAUAGGAGCUCCUGCUGCAUGGAGGGGGUUGGAAAGUUUCGGCGGGUGGGGUUGGACUCGCGGCUUAUCAGCUUGCUGGUUGGGUAGUGGCUUACCAAGGCAUUGACGGGUAGCCGGCCUGAGAGGGUGACCGGCGACCAUAGGACUGAGAGACGGCGCAGACUCCAACGUGAGGCAGCGGGGGGGAGUAUGGCACAGUGGGCGGGAGCGUGAUGCAGCAACGCCGCGUGCGGGAUGACGGCUUGCUGGUUGAGAACCGCUGUAGCCUGAGACGAAGCGUGAGUGACGGUAAUGGGUAAAUAAGCACCGGCUAACUACGUG
Molecule: ribosomal RNA, 468 nt
Filed under: uncultured bacterium
Lineage: Bacteria
Description: partial 16S ribosomal RNA
Rfam family: Bacterial small subunit ribosomal RNA
Source: RNAcentral